Long non-coding RNA from Girardinichthys multiradiatus, 1614 nucleotides. RefSeq lists it as uncharacterized. Lineage: Eukaryota; Metazoa; Chordata; Actinopteri; Cyprinodontiformes; Goodeidae. The record is from RefSeq and is a predicted model, not a curated record. The transcript is spliced from 2 exons.
CUUGUUGUUGAUCAUUUUCACUCUGUUCUGCCCGCUCGCUAGACCAGGACUCUGUUUUAUGUUUGCUUCGUUCCUGCAAGGAGUACACAUGGCUGAUCACCUGAAGAUGAUUACCGGUGUGUAGAAGUAGGAGGAGUCAGGUUACCUGGUACCGCAGGUUGAAGUUGUGGAAGACUGAUUCCUGAGAUGGAGACGAUGAAGUUUCUCUCAUUUGAUAAAUGAAAGCUGGCCUGCAGGUCUGCAGAGGUUAACUUAUUCACACACACCACAGAAGACGGGGGCAGGAGGCCUCUUCCUGACAGAUAAAGAGGGCUUGUUUCAAAAUGUUCCCUGAUUGGUUAAUGGGGUCACGACUGAGGCCAGCAGCAGGAGGCAACUUAGUGGACCUUGACUGAUAUGUAUGUGUGUCUCUGUCUGUUGGGGUGGAAUGUAAAAUAAAGCUUUGUUCAAGUGAGUUUCACACACAACCAGCCGAUGGGUCGAUAUCUGUGAGAAGGGAUUUACCUUCACCUGAGACGUGCAGACCUGAGCAGGUGUGGAAGUACAUCAUGUUCUGGUUGCUUUCUGCAGCUAACCAACAGCAAUCUUAUGCCCACCAUAAAAUUAUGAAAAUUCUCAGCAAAUGUGACCUGAUACUUAACUCAACCGCAACAAUAACACUUUUCAUGCAAAUUAGUUUUGUUCCCUACACUCUUUACUUGAGGUAAAAUGACCUAAUUUAUUUUCAUCUAAAGUUUAUCACUUAUGAAAUCUUUUUAAGAACAUUUAUCCAACUCCCAGUUCUAGCUCCUCAGGUGUCCCAGAGCUCUUUCUUUCAGGCCAAGAUCAGGAUCAAAGGUCCAGGUGAGCUCCAGUCAUUCAGAACCAGGCUGGACCAGACCACUGUGCCUUAAAAGUUCCCCUAAUUCUUCUUCUGGACCCAAUCCCGGAGUCCGGAGUUUUGUUCCAGCUCGGUUCUGAUUUCAGGACAUGGUGCAGUAGAUUGAUGCAAACUCAUGUUCUGCCCUGAUUCACACAGACAGGUGGGAAUGUCAUUUCAAAAUAACAGCAAAGAAGGUCACUGGGUUUUGCAGCACACUGGAGUGUUUUACUUUGUUUUGACCAAAAACUGUAGACUCAAAGUCACAGAUACAGAGAAAUGUGUCGUCUUUCCCUUAAAAACCAUUUGCAUUCGGACUCUACUAUAAGUAACAUUUAGUCAAAAUGUUUCUGUUUGACAGAUGAUGAUGAUUCCGUGUGUUGUGUUUUAAUGUUAAGGAAACACAUUUUUUUUAUUCAUUAUGAAAUUAUUGUUGUUGCAUACUUUGCUGAUGAGAAAUAUAUUUAUAGGCCAUCAAUUAGGAAUUAACCAGGUGGUAUUACAUUUCAGAUAUUUUCAUUGGCUUUCUAUGCCUUUUUGCAGCUUCUUUUCUUUUUUCUUUUUAAGUACUUAUUUCUUGUUUCAUUUCACUCUGUCAGACUAAACUUAUAAACCAAUUAUUUCUGUUGCCAGUAUGGUGGAAAUUUCAUGUCUAUGGCUUCAUCAAAAAUAUAUUGUCUGAGAGUUUUUCAACAUAUAUUUAACAUUUAUUUACUCCACUCUAUGUUGUUCAAUAAAGGCUUUCAGUUUCUAAA